AAGCUCGUAGUUGAAUUUCGGGGUUAGUAGGUUGGUCAUGCCUCUGGUAUGUACUGGUCUCACUGAUUCCUCCUUCCUUAUGAACCGUAAUGCCAUUAAUUUGGUGUUGCGGGGAAUUUGGACUGUUACUUUGAAAAAAUUAGAGUGUUUAAAGCAAGCUAACGCUUGAAUACAUUAGCAUGGAAUAAUGAAAUAGGACGUUCGAUCUUAUUUUGUUGGUUUCUAGGAUUGACGUAAUGAUUAAUAGGGUAGUUGGG
This 257-nucleotide ribosomal RNA is filed under the name uncultured Glomus. RNAcentral's name for it is "partial 18S ribosomal RNA". It matches the Rfam family "Eukaryotic small subunit ribosomal RNA", at positions 624 to 885 of the family's 1831-position model. Lineage: Eukaryota; Fungi; Glomeromycota; Glomeromycetes; Glomerales; Glomeraceae. The record is from RNAcentral.